AGGAUCCAGAGGAGGAGAUGCUAGUUUCUCAAAUCAAUUCCCUAUCUUCUCAUUUGGGUUCAUGGUUAUUUAUAACAAUUUGUUCAACUAGAAUUCGUAUUGUAACUACUAACUACUUAAUAUCUGUAACUACUUAUGAUUUAGCUGAAUCUUUAUUCAUAAGUGAAAUCCUUGUCUCACGUCGAACGCUUGCUCCUCGUUGGUCGAGCCGGGUUGGGUUGACACGAAUCCUCUGUCCGGCGAGUCCACUCCAAGCUUCAGUUCUUCCCGUAAUACUUCCUCCGUGCUGGCUUGGUCAAUUCCUACUGUUACAUCACCUUCCUCUUCUACCCGAACAUUGUCCUCAAGGUUCGCGUUUGGGUUGAGGUGGGCUAUCCAUUCUAAAUCUUCCCACGUUUGUUCAAUCGAUGGUAAUCCUCUCCAUUCUACUAAAACCUGCUCGGUCUUCCUGCCUUUGCGUGUGAUAAGCCUGUAUCCCACCACUGAUUUUGGGGCUACUAUAGGAUGUGAUUCCCACGUCGUCGGAAGUAGUUCUACCUUUUGCUCGUCUGCUAUUAUUCCCACUACCGGCUUCAGCAAGGAUAUGUGAAAUACUGGAAAGAUGCUGCUUCCGAUUGGCAAUUCUAAACGGUAUGCUACUUCGUUGAUUCUUUUGAUGACUUUGUAUGGUCGGAAUGGUCCAUAGUAUCUUUUGCUUAAUUUUGUGCAUGUCCAAUUGUUUACUGAAUUUUGACGAUACGGUUUGAGCUUCACCCACACCCAUUCUCCGACUUGUAAUUCCCAAAAUUUCCGCCUCUUGUCUGCAUAUUUCUUCAUCCGUGCUUGAGCCUGUUGUAGUUUAGUUUUCAAUUCCCCCAAGAUUUUUUUUUCUUCGUAUCAGUUCCUGGUCGACUGCCUCCACUCUCGAAUCUCCCGCUUGAUAGGGCAUCACUGACGGAGGUGGCCGGCUGUAUACUGCUUCAAACGGAGAUGUUCCGAUACUGUGGUGGUACACCGUGUUAUACCAUAAGUCGGCCCAGGGUAGCAUUUCCCUCCAUCCCCGCGGAUUGUCUUGAACCAUUGCACGUAAAUAUCCUUCGAUCGUUUUAUUGACGAUUUCCGUUUGUCCAUCCGAUUCCGGGUGGUAUGAUAAAGACAUAUUGAUCGUUGUUCCGCUCCUCAACAACAAUUCUUUUCAAAAUUUGUUGAUGAAGACUUUGUUCCGAUCUGAUACUACUUUGGAAGGUAUCCCAUGUAGCCGAACUACGUUUUCCGUGAAGAAUUGGGCCACUGAUAUUGCUGUAUAUGCUUCCGGUAAGCUACCCAGGUGGUAAUAUUUUGAUAGUCGGUCGACUAUUACCACAAUGACUGAAUGUCCCCGUACCACCGGUAAACCUGUAAUAAAAUCCAUGCUUACCUCCUCCCAGACGGCCACCAGAAUGCUUAGUGGGUGUAGUAGACCCAAAGGUUUCUCCGUCGGUAUUUUCGUUUGUUGGCAAACCCUGCAUUCAGCCACGAAUUUCUUCACCUGCCCGAUUAGCCCGUUCCAGAAAAAUUGGGAUUUCACCCGAUAUAGGGUUUGAUAUUACCCCACAUGUCCGCCCAAUUGUAAUCCAUGUAAUUCUGUUAGGAUCUCUUUUCUCAGAUCCGAUUCAGGCCCAAUACAGUAUCUUAGGUUAAACAUCAAGAAUUCACCCCGUACUUCGAAACCCGAGCGUGCUAUCUGGUUCGCUAAUUGAUCUCGGACCAUCUUGAUCCAUUCAUCCGUUCUAUUUUCUUCCUGGAGUCGACUCACGCAUUCCGUAACUGGUUCUGAUGCUAGUCGAUUUAAUUAUGUAUUGUAGUCAUUAUUUUCUUCCGCCGGUAGCCGUGAUAGAGCAUCUGCCGCGAUAUUCUCUUUGCCCUUCCGAUAAACUAUGAAUAGCCUAAUAAUUUUGUUAAAAAGAAUUGUUGCUCCGGCGUUUGUAUUGUUUGAUUGAUUAAAUUUUUCAAUGGAUGAUGGUCGGUUCGAAUCGUAAAUAUUCUGCCGAGGAGGUAGUGUCUCCAACGUCGGACGGAAUCUGUAAUGGCCCAAAGCUCUUUCGCAUAAGUGGAUGCACGUUGUCUUAAUACCGAUAAUUUUCUGCUGUAAAAUGCUACCGGGUGUUCUUGUUAUAACAAUACUGCUCCCACCUCGACUUCACACUCAUCUGUCUCCAAUACAAAUGGUAGUUCAAAAUUUGGGUAGACUAAGACCGGAGCCGUGAUUAACGUUUUUUUGAGUAUCCCAAAAGAUUCUUCCGCUUCCGUACUCCAUCUAAAGUUAUUUUUUUUAAUAGAUUGGUGAUAGGAACUGCCAAUUGUGCAUAACGGCUGGUGAAGCGUCUAUAAUAGCUUGUUAACCCCAAGAAUGCUCGGACUUGUCUAACGGUUUUUGGAACUGGCCAAGACUCAAUGGUCGAGACCUUGUCCGGAUCUGGCCGGAUGCCUUCUGUGGUAAUAAUAUGGCCCAGAUAUGCUAGCUUGGUGGCGCCAAAACAACACUUCGUUUUUCGUACUGAUAAGAAAUUUGAACUUAGUAUUGUAAAUACUUGUUCCAGAUGAUGCCGAUGUUCCUCGGUUGAAUGACUGUAAACCAAUAUGUCGUCGAAAAAUAUAAUAACAAAUUUUCGUAGAUAAGCUUCAAACAGAUUAUUCAUGGUUUCCUGGAACGUUGCGGUGCGUUGGUUAGCCCGAAUGGCAUUACGGUAAAUUCGUAAUGACCGUGAUGGGUUCUAAAUGCCGUCAUCGGAAUGUCUUCUUCUUUGAUUCUAAUUUGAUGAUAACCAGCUCUUAAAUCGAGUUUAGAAAAGAUUCUUGCCCCAUGAAGUUCAUUUGAUUAACUCAUUCAUUAUAGGGAUGGGAAAUCGAUCCCUGAUUGUUAGGCAUUAAGAGCACGGUAGUCGACGUAAAAUCUCCACGACCCAUCUUUCUUCCUGACUAGCAAGACGGGUGAUGAGAAAGGGCUAAUGCUUGGCCGAAUUAAACCUUGUUGUAAUAUUUCUUUCGUCAGCCUUUCAAUUUCAUUCCUCUGGAAGUGUGGAUACCUGUAUGGGUUCACAUUAACCGGUUGGGCCCCACUUAUUAGUGUAAUGCGAUGAUCGGUUGUUCUAUUUGGAGGUAAUUCGGUUGGAUCUUUAAAUGAUUCUUGAAAUUUUUCCAAUACUUCUUUGAGUUCUUCACUUUCUUGUGAUGGUGGGUCCGGCGGUUCACAAUUCAGAUGACAAAAAUACACGACUUCUCGGCGAUUCAAUACACCCGUUUCAGCAAUUUGCGUAUUCCCUUGUAAUUUCACGACCUUUCCACCGCAAUCGAAUUUCAGAGUCAACUGUUUGUAAUUUGGAUAAAGUUGUGGGUGCUCCCACUAUACUGAUAGUUGCUGCCCUCGAAUUGAUCCUGACAUCCGGAUAGUUUUAGGAUUAUAUGACCCCGAGAGAGCGUGCAAACUGAUUUCGAUGUCGUUGUUUGCCCCUUCUGGCUUCUGCCAUCGGAUCUAGAAUUGUUUCAUUGUGUAUCACCUCCGUUAAGCAAUCAUUCUCGACGCUUAGUUGAAAUAACUUUCCUUUACAGCGAUGACCCGGAAUAUAUUUUUCCUCGCAAUUAAAGUACAACCCUUUAGCCGUCCUUUCUUUUCUUUCUUAAAUUGUCAAAAUUCGUCGUACGAUCGGAACUGUCAUGCCUUCCGUUGGUGGUGUUUUGAGGAUCGGUUUAGAUUUGUUAUAAUUAUUCCAUGUCUUACCACUCCGAUUGGCUUCAAAAAAAUUUGCCGCGGCUAGAGCUUUUCUUAAAGUUGGCGGUCGAGCUAUUUUUAACUGGCUUUUGAUUUCUACUUUCAAGCCCCCAAUGAAGAACGUAAUUAAGGUCUCUUCUGACUGACCCUCUACUUCAUUUAACAAGUUCUCGAAUUUGGCCAUAUAUUUGGCCACCGUCCCCGUUUACUGCAACCUUGAUAGAUCUGCCAAUUUAUCAUCAUAAGCUGAACAACCGAAUCGCUCAGUUAAGUCCUCUACGAACCUAGCUCAUGUCGAUAGUAGUUUAUUUCGACGAAGACCCCGAAUCCAUGCCAAGGCUUCCUUGGUCAUAUGUAACGAUGCAAUUUGAAUCUUUGCAUCGUUCCCUAUUGAAUGAAGUGCAAAAUAUUCUUCGGCCUGGUAGAACCACCCUUGUGGAUCAUCCCCCGAAAAUUUCGGCAAGUCCAGUUUGAUUGAUCUUAGACGUUUGCCGUUUGACUCAAAUCCUUUACCUCCGAAGUUACCGCUGAAACCUUUCAGUAGCUGCUUUAUCUCCCCCAAUUCGUCACAGAUGUUCGAAAUAGCAAGAUCGUGACGUAUGGUUACAUCUGUUAACCUUUUAUUUUGGUCCGCCGAGAUAGUAGCUAACGAAUUCCGGAUCUCCUCCAAAGCUUCUUCCGGACGUCCUUCCAUAUCACAAAUUUUUUAAAAAAAUUGUUACUGUCACAAUUAAAUUCAAGCAGAAUUCAAUUAACGAAAUACGCCCCUGUUGAAGACCCAAUCAAGGCUUGGGACGCGCCUUUGGUCCCCCUGCUUUACUCGACGGAGAGUUUACGAUGAAAGCACCAAUGUAACAACGGUGAUCGUUGAGAUCGCCGGAGUCAGAAGGAAGAACGGAGUCCAGAGAGAAAAGCCGACAGUCGAAGACAGACUGCGGUUCCGGAGACGAAGAUGUUCGGACAGAGAAGAAUCCCCGAUGGAGCCGGAAGGAGAGUGACUAAUCCCGGAGGAUCCAGAGGAGGAGAUGCUAGUUUCUCAAAUCAAUUCCCUAUCUUCUCAUUUGGGUUCAUGGUUAUUUAUAACAAUUUGUUCAACUAGAAUUCGUAUUGUAACUACUAACUACUUAAUAUCUAUAACUACUUAUGAUUUAGCUGAAUCUUUAUUCAUAAGUGAAAUCCUUGUCUCGCGUCGAACGCUUGCUCCUCGCUGGUCGAGCCGGGUUGGGUUGACACGAAUCCUCUGCAACUUCCAGUGAGUCCACUCCAAGCUUCAGUUCUUCCCGUAAUACUUCCUCCACGCUGGCUUGAUCAAUUCCUACUGUUACAAUGACGUCGGCUAUGAUGAGUGUCGUCGACAAAAUUCAGCAGGAUAAAAGAACGGGAAGAAAGAUAGAGAGGGAUCGAAGGUACCUGACUCAAGAGAAAUUACACUCUGCCCUCUUCUCCGGAAGCGUUGGACUUUUAUAGGACUUCCAGGUUGUUAUAGUUAUCAUUUAGUUGUUGAUGACAGGUCGCCUGAUGCAGAUGACACGUCAUCCGAUGAAGAUGAGUUAUAUUGAUAACUAUAUGAUGAGUUAUCAUUUAGUUGAAG
Molecule: long non-coding RNA, 5318 nt
Filed under: Zostera marina
Lineage: Eukaryota; Viridiplantae; Streptophyta; Magnoliopsida; Alismatales; Zosteraceae
Description: long non-coding RNA (ZMAR_LNC001140)
Source: RNAcentral